AAGGAAUUGACGGGGGCCCGCACAAGCGGCGGAGCAUGCGGAUUAAUUCGAUGCAACGCGAAGAACCUUACCAAGGCUUGACAUAUACGAGAACGGGCUAGAAAUAGUCAACUCCUUUGGACACUCGUAAACAGGUGGUGCAUGGUUGUCGUCAGCUCGUGUCGUGAGAUGUUGGGUUAAGUCCCGCAACGAGCGCAACCCUCGUUCUAUGUUGCCAGCACGUAAUGGUGGGAACUCAUAGGAGACUGCCGGGGUCAACUCGGAGGAAGGUGGGGAUGACGUCAAAUCAUCAUGCCCCUUAUGUCUUGGGCUUCACGCAUGCUACAAUGGCCGGUACAAAGGGCUGCAAUACCGUAAGGUGGAGCGAAUCCCAAAAAGCCGGUCUCAGUUCGGAUUGAGGUCUGCAACUCGACCUCAUGAAGUCGGAGUCGCUAGUAAUCGCAGAUCASCAACGCUGCGGUGAAUACGUUCCCGGGCCUUGUACACACYKCCCGUCAAGUCAUGAAAGUCGGUAACACCCGAAGCCGGU
Molecule: ribosomal RNA, 529 nt
Filed under: Leifsonia aquatica
Lineage: Bacteria; Bacillati; Actinomycetota; Actinomycetes; Micrococcales; Microbacteriaceae
Description: bacterial SSU rRNA
Source: RNAcentral